Molecule: ribosomal RNA, 544 nt
Filed under: uncultured bacterium
Lineage: Bacteria
Description: partial 16S ribosomal RNA
Rfam family: Bacterial small subunit ribosomal RNA
Source: RNAcentral
UAGGGAAUCUUGGACAAUGGGCGAAAGCCUGAUCCAGCCAUGCCGCGUGAGUGAUGAAGGCCUUAGGGUUGUAAAGCUCUUUCGCCAGGGAAGAUAAUGACGGUACCUGGAUAAGAAGCCCCGGCAAACUUCGUGCCAGCAGCCGCGGUAAUACGAAGGGGGCUAGCGUUGUUCGGAAUUACUGGGCGUAAAGCGCACGUAGGCGGCUUUCCAAGUUGGAGGUGAAAUCCCCGGGCUUAACUCGGGAACUGCCUCCAAAAACUGGACGGCUCGAGUCCGAGAGAGGUGAGUGGAAUUUCCAGUGUAGAGGUGAAAUUCGUAGAUAUUGGAAAGAACACCAGUGGCGAAGGCGGCUCACUGGCUCGGUACUGACGCUGAGGUGCGACAGCGUGGGGAGCAAACAGGAUUAGAUACCCUGGUAGUCCACGCCGUAAACGAUGGGUGCUAGUUGUCAGGCGGCUUGCUGUUUGGUGACGCAGCUAACGCAUUAAGCACCCCGCCUGGGGGAGUACGGUCGCAAGAUUAAAAACUUAAAUGAAUUGAC